CUGAAAUUCUACUUAAACUAUUCCUUG
Molecule: transfer RNA, 27 nt
Filed under: Equus caballus (horse)
Lineage: Eukaryota; Metazoa; Chordata; Mammalia; Perissodactyla; Equidae
Description: partial tRNA-Pro
Source: RNAcentral